UAUAUUUUAGUAUAUGAUGUACAGGAAUUUUUGAUGUUUCAGGGAGUAGUUAAAUUCUACUAAAUAUAA
RNAcentral lists this transfer RNA (69 nucleotides) under Stricticollis tobias. Its description in RNAcentral is "tRNA-Gln". The record is from RNAcentral. Lineage: Eukaryota; Metazoa; Arthropoda; Insecta; Coleoptera; Anthicidae.